ACAGGGUGACAGGUGGUGGCAUGGUUGUCGUCAGCUCGUGUCGUGAGAUGUUGGGUUAAGUCCCGCAACGAGCGCAACCCUCGACCUUAGUUGCCAGCAUUCAGUUGGGCACUCUAAGGUGACUGCCGGCUAAAAGUCGGAGGAAGGUGGGGAUGACGUCAAAUCAUCAUGCCCCUUAUGACCUGGGCUACACACGUGCUACAAUGGGCGGUACAACGAGUUGCGAGUCGGUGACGGCGAGCUAAUCUCUUAAAGCCAAUCUCAGUUCGGAUUGUAGGCUGCAACUCGCCUACAUGAAGUCGGAAUCGCUAGUAAUCGCGGAUCAGCACGCCGCGGUGAAUACGUUCCCGGGCCUU
Molecule: ribosomal RNA, 356 nt
Filed under: uncultured Streptococcus sp.
Lineage: Bacteria; Bacillati; Bacillota; Bacilli; Lactobacillales; Streptococcaceae
Description: bacterial SSU rRNA
Rfam family: Bacterial small subunit ribosomal RNA
Source: RNAcentral